CCAGCACUGCUGGACCCAUCUAGUCCGUUCCUCACACUCGCGGACUGGAGGCUCCAGGCUGCACAACCACCAACUGAGUUCAUUAGUUUCUGUUUGUUCUCAGUAAUAUCCAGCUCAAUAGAUUGUCACCAACCAUGUGCCUAAAGCUAACUGUGUCAAAAAGAGCAUGCUUCGAGGGGCUGGAGUGAGCAAUUCAACUUGUGGAGAAAUAAGAAAUAAUAGUGUUGAGACAAGAAACAUAAAACCGCAGGCUGCAGCAUAUCAUGAGUGAUGAGAUCUGUGUACAGGUGACUGACCUUUACCUGGCAGAAAAUAAUAAUGGGGUCACCGCAGGCCAGCCGAACACACAGAACUCAAGAAGCCUCCUGGAGUCAACGUAUCCACAGAAAGCCAAGCAGCUAAUGUCAGAUGAGAAAUGCUGUAAGCUUACUCUUCCACUGUUCGCCUGUCUCAGCAGCUUGAGCCAGCUGCCCCUACACAUAGCUGCGCAGCCAGCUCUCUCUUGCCUUCAGGGUCAGCAGCUUAACUCCUUCUCUCUCUGGGCAUGAGCAAGCCCAGCUGUGUCCUGGCUCCCUCCCAUCUGCCUGCAAGAUGGACAGCUUUGGCUCUCUCUUUCUCUGGGUGCCAGUGUGCUCGUCAUGUCAAGCCAUGUUAAGCCAAACUGAGCCAAGCCCCGAAGAGCCAUGUCUCUUAUGCACAGCAUCAACAGGGCAGUUAUACCUUUUACAGACAAUAGUGGCAUAAAGCCAGGAAUGAACUUACACAAACAGGUUAUAUUACAAGUGGAGCUGUGUGCUUGCACGCCAAACUCGUGAGUCACGCAGGCCUAGAUAUCCACCUCGGCCUAUUCCUUGACCAAAGCACAUCUAUGUACCUUACUAUGUGGUUUUGUAUGUUGGCCAGGCUGGUCUCAAACUCCUGAACUCAAGUGAUCUGCCCGCUUCAGCCUCCAAGUGCUGGGAUUACAGGUGUGAGCCACUGCAUCUGACCGGAAAGGGUGUAUUUUUGCUCAAUUAGCAACACUUCUGGGUCUUUAAUGUCUUUUCUAUGGCUAUUUGAUAUUCACUUUAUAGAGAAUUAAUGCCUGUAUUGUUGGACAUUUAAGUUGUUUCCAAGUUUUCACCAUUAUAACUGUAUUUGUGUGUAUAUAUUAUAUUCUUGCCAGGCUGUAAGCUUUACUAGCAGAGAGGAAAUUUUAAAGCUUUAAAAGAACACUGAGCUAGAUCUAGCUUCUGGCUCUGUGUGUUUAUUGACC
Molecule: long non-coding RNA, 1255 nt
Filed under: Pan troglodytes (chimpanzee)
Lineage: Eukaryota; Metazoa; Chordata; Mammalia; Primates; Hominidae
Description: long non-coding RNA NONPTRT005472
Source: RNAcentral